CCAGGCGUCGAGCGGCGGACGGGUGAGUAAUACUUAGGAAUCUACCUAGUAGUGGGGGAUAGCACGGGGAAACUCGUAUUAAUACCGCAUACGACCUACGGGAGAAAGGGGGCAGUUUACUGCUCUCGCUAUUAGAUGAGCCUAAGUCGGAUUAGCUAGAUGGUGGGGUAAAGGCCUACCAUGGCGACGAUCUGUAGCUGGUCUGAGAGGAUGAUCAGCCACACCGGGACUGAGACACGGCCCGGACUCCUACGGGAGGCAGCAGUGGGGAAUAUUGGACAAUGGGGGAAACCCUGAUCCAGCCAUGCCGCGUGUGUGAAGAAGGCCUUUUGGUUGUAAAGCACUUUAAGCAGUGAAGAAGACUCUUCGGUUAAUACCCGGAGACGAUGACAUUAGCUGCAGAAUAAGCACCGGCUAACUCUGUGCCAGCAGCCGCGGUAAUACAGAGGGUGCAAGCGUUAAUCGGAAUUACUGGGCGUAAAGCGAGCGUAGGUGGCUUGAUAAGUCAGAUGUGAAAUCCCCGGGCUUAACCUGGGAACUGCAUCUGAAACUGUUAGGCUAGAGUAGGUGAGAGGGAAGUAGAAUUUCAGGUGUAGCGGUGAAAUGCGUAGAGAUCUGAAGGAAUACCGAUGGCGAAGGCAGCUUCCUGGCAUCAUACUGACACUGAGGCUCGAAAGCGUGGGUAGCAAACAGGAUUAGAUACCCUGGUAGUCCACGCCGUAAACGAUGUCUACUAGUCGUUGGGUCCCUU
This 751-nucleotide ribosomal RNA is filed under the name Psychrobacter nivimaris. Its description in RNAcentral is "bacterial SSU rRNA". It matches the Rfam family "Bacterial small subunit ribosomal RNA", at positions 84 to 833 of the family's 1533-position model. Lineage: Bacteria; Pseudomonadati; Pseudomonadota; Gammaproteobacteria; Moraxellales; Moraxellaceae. The record is from RNAcentral.